GAUGAACGCUGGCGGCGUGCCUAAUACAUGCAAGUCGAGCGAACGGACGAGAAGCUUGCUUCUCUGAUGUUAGCGGCGGACGGGUGAGUAACACGUGGAUAACCUACCUAUAAGACUGGGAUAACUUCGGGAAACCGGAGCUAAUACCGGAUGAUAUUUUGAACCGCAUGGUUCAAGAGUGAAAGACGGUCUUGCUGUCACUUAUAGAUGGAUCCGCGCUGCAUUAGCUAGUUGGUAAGGUAACGGCUUACCAAGGCAACGAUGCAUAGCCGACCUGAGAGGGUGAUCGGCCACACUGGAACUGAGACACGGUCCAGACUCCUACGGGAGGCAGCAGUAGGGAAUCUUCCGCAAUGGGCGAAAGCCUGACGGAGCAACGCCGCGUGAGUGAUGAAGGUCUUCGGAUCGUAAAACUCUGUUAUUAGGGAAGAACAUAUGUGUAAGUAACUGUGCACAUCUUGACGGUACCUAAUCAGAAAGCCACGGCUAACUACGU
Molecule: ribosomal RNA, 496 nt
Filed under: uncultured bacterium
Lineage: Bacteria
Description: partial 16S ribosomal RNA
Rfam family: Bacterial small subunit ribosomal RNA
Source: RNAcentral